UUCUUUAUUUUGUGUCCGUCUUCCUUACACACACACACAAUAUAAUAUAUGAUUAUAUUUAUAUACACACACACACACAAUAUAAUAUAUGAUUAUAUUUAUAUAUACACACACACACAAUAUAAUAUAUGAUUAUAUUUAUAUAUACACACACACACACAAUAAAAGAUGGAAAUUUUGUAUCUCACAAAUAUGUCUUCAUAAAAUUACUUUUGUAAAAUGACAUUUAUAAUACACUGCAUAGAAUGUUAUGUCAAGUCCCAAUGGCUUCAUUGUGUGCAGUAUCACAACAAUUAUACAUUUUUCAAUGACUUAUUAUUAAAAAAAAACUGUAAGACAGGUUCCAUAUUAUCUAACUGCAAAUACAUAUAAAAUUAGAACUCAAAUUUGGAAUUUCCUUAAUUGAUGCUUAGAUAAUAGAUUCACAUAUGCUUGAUUUAGUAUAAUUUUCUCUCAUCAAUAUAUUUUUUUCAUAUUUAUAUGAGUCAACAUGAAAACCUCAUGCCUUUUCAAGUUCCACUUGUGCACACAAUUGUACAGUAGAAUAUAACCUGUCAAUCAUAUUUUGAUGCAAUUUUAGUUUACUUUGUUAGCUUUAAAAAUGAUUUUUUUUAAUGAAACCUAAUACACAAGCCAUUGGAAUGCAACAGCUGCUCAAUUGAAAAAUUAGUUAUAGUUCCAAGCUGAUCAAAGCUUGCUACAAAGCAAAGUAAAUAGUAGGCUACUUGCAAGAGUAGCACUCAGAAUUGCAUCUUGGGCUGACAAUAAUGCACAUUAAACAAUGCCCACAAAUAGGAUGGUCUUGUGAUGGCAAUAAAACAGUAAAACAUAAAGAGACAGCUAUUAAAUAUGAUUCAUUGCACAUGAAAAUGAACAAGAUUUAUUACACAUUUUCUCAUCUAGGUACAUUGCACAUGAAAAUGGCCAUGAGUUUUGUCAUUUUCUAAAGUAAGUCAAACUAGUCCAAGUUUGAAGAGGUUGAAGGAGUUAUAUGUAUUUGCAUGUAAAAUUUCCUUUUUUGAUAUCACCUUGCACUAAAGUUGUGAUUUUGCAAGAAUGAAUUAUUGUAAUAUUUGAUGAAGAAAUUUUCGGUUCUAUUAGAUGAAAUUUAUAUGUCGAUUUUUUUUAAAAAAAAAAUACUACUUUGUGGAAAAAAAUAUACAAGCUUUACAACACAACUCAAUGGAAACACAGAUUAAGUUGUUACAAGGAUAUAAAUGUUAAGGUGUUAUGAGAAAUUGCAUUAUAUUUCAAAGACAUAAAACCCAUUGUACCAAAUUAGGUCAAAAGCACAAAAUCUUUACAUUCUGUAGAACAUGAUUUGCAAGCUCCCAACUACAAGACUAUGUAAAAACAACGGAAUUAUUGUUCAUGUGCAUCAAUCUUCACCCAACUCUUGACUUCUAAUCAUGAGAAUGGAACCUGAAUUCCCAAACAAACACCAUUAACAAAAAAUACUCUAGAAUGAGAAAUAAAAAUAAAAUGAGGAUAUUAUACUAAAAUGUUAUUUUUUAAAAAAGAAAAUAAUGUAAGAAUAUACAAAAAAAUAAUAUGUUAGUACAAAAUGCAGGUGAAGUUCCGUACGAGGAGGGGUCAGUGGGGACCUCAGAACGCGAAAGCUACCUUGCGGUGGGUCCAGAGGUACAGUUUGUACGUUCUAGACCAUACGAAAAGUACAAAUGGUACUCGAUCCCCGUGUUUUUUGGAGUUAGAUUUGGCCGUGUCGAGCCCAGCGUGGACUAGGCCAUGGCUCAACGCAUGGGGCGGUGCCACGUGGAAUAGUCGGCAACGAAAAUUGAGUUCUGGUUGCCAAGGCCUUCUUUUACCGCUAAAGUCCUUUAAAACAAAUUAAUAAUAAAUUAAAAAGUUUUCUUUUUUAUUUGAUUGGGGGAGGGGGUUGCUUGAACUACUUCAUCAUUACAAGAUAAAAUGAUUUAU
RNAcentral lists this long non-coding RNA (1938 nucleotides) under Physcomitrium patens. RNAcentral's name for it is "long non-coding RNA (PPAT_LNC000517)". The record is from RNAcentral. Lineage: Eukaryota; Viridiplantae; Streptophyta; Bryopsida; Funariales; Funariaceae.